This 274-nucleotide ribosomal RNA is filed under the name uncultured bacterium. RNAcentral's name for it is "partial 16S ribosomal RNA". It matches the Rfam family "Bacterial small subunit ribosomal RNA", at positions 523 to 796 of the family's 1533-position model. The record is from RNAcentral.
AUACGGAGGGGGCUAGCGUUGUUCGGAUUUACUGGGCGUAAAGGGCGCGUAGGCGGUACGCGAAGCUAAGGGUGAAAUCCCGAGGCUCAACCUCGGAAUCGCUCUUGGAACUGGCGAACUAGAGAUAGUUAGAGGCAAGUGGAAUUCCUGGUGUAGAGGUGAAAUUCGUAGAUAUCAGGAGGAACACCGGCGGCGAAGGCGGCUUGCUGGAACUUAUCUGACGCUGAAGCGCGAAAGCGUGGGGAGCAAACAGGAUUAGAUACCCCAGUAGUCC